RNAcentral lists this long non-coding RNA (679 nucleotides) under Rattus norvegicus (Norway rat). RNAcentral describes it as "long non-coding RNA NONRATT017771". The record is from RNAcentral. Lineage: Eukaryota; Metazoa; Chordata; Mammalia; Rodentia; Muridae.
GGGUGCCCGGUGUGGGCGUCGACACUUGUAUUUAAUUGCUUUCCCAUUGCUUUGCAGACCAUUUAACCCCGGGUUGCAUGUCUCUCUCUUUAUGAAUUCAGCCCUCCUCAGAGUGAAGCCUCCCCGGUGGCUUCUCCGGAUCCCCAGCGCCAGGAGUGGUUUGCCCGGUACUUCACGUUCUGAAUGACGGUGCUGGCACGGCUCUGUGUGGACUGUCCAUGGCAUGGCUGCAUAGGAACCGUUAUGUGGACUGGCCUGUCUAUGGAAAGCACUGUGAAUGAGGAAGUAUUUGUCUCUCCAAUCUGAAAUGCACUGUAUUUCCUGCGAUACUUACUGGAGUCACUCUCUGAGGUACUAUAUUAUGUGUGUAAUUAUAACAAUUAUUUUUAUCCGAGACGGAAGUCUUAAUCUUUGUAAUUACUGCAUAAUAAAUUUUGUUAGAACAAAUGUUUUUUGUUGUUGUUUUCUAUCAAGUGUGCUUAAAACACUUUUUAAUACCAGAUAUAAGACUUGUCAAUAAGCUGUACUGCACAUAAUAAAUCAUAAGUUGUUAUUUCAAUAGUCUUAAUAUCAAUAUAGGGCAAUUUAUUAAUAUCUUCCAUUGUCAUGUAUAAUUUUAACUAAAUUGUUAACAUUUAUAAAUCCAGAAUAAAAAAAUUUAUGUAAAUCGUGUACUUCC